UCAGUGGUCAACGAUGCGAUUUUCGUGAAAUCGUACGCGGAUUUGCGGAUUGCGGAUCAUUGCCAGAGACGUGGAUAUCAUAAUUGUCUCGAGUUCUUACGGACGUGGAAUUCCUGCAACAAAAUUAUGAUUUUAUGACGCUAUAAGGAUAAAAAUUGUACUAAAAAUUUGUCUACCACAUAUCUUAUUAAAAGUAAAAAGUGAUAAUAGACAGAAGGAGAUCAUAAUUUAUUCGCAAGUAAAUUUCAUCGACUAAUUGAUCCUAUUAUUCAUCGAUAACGAUACAUUAUGUGAGGUUCGAAUUGCAAGAUAACCAGUUUGUUUACGUUCUUGACGAAUCGUUACAUAGCUUUGCGUCAGAAGGAUGGCAUAACGACGCUCGAAGUGAAUGGAGAAGGAGGAAUAUUUAUUUAUCUUGGCUGAUCAGAAAUGAUUGAGUGACUCUCAUUAUGAGGCAAGUUCCACUCGAUGUCGUUAUAACGUUAUACAUCAUCGAAGAUCCUCCUAUGUAACUUGCCUAAGACAUCGAUGAUGUUAAGUGGUUGAGAUAUUGUCGAUUUAAAGUCUCACGCUGUUUUUUUUUUUUUUUUGAAUAAAAGUAUGCUAUGCUUAA
Molecule: long non-coding RNA, 613 nt
Organism: Apis cerana (Asiatic honeybee)
Lineage: Eukaryota; Metazoa; Arthropoda; Insecta; Hymenoptera; Apidae
Source: RefSeq, a predicted model, not a curated record